CUUCAUUGAUGACCUGUUUUGUGCCACUGAUGUAUUGUAAUGGUAAUGAGGAUCUGAAGAG
Danio rerio (zebrafish) is the source of this 61-nucleotide small nucleolar RNA. The record is from Ensembl. Lineage: Eukaryota; Metazoa; Chordata; Actinopteri; Cypriniformes; Danionidae.